Bacillus atrophaeus 1942 is the source of this 87-nucleotide non-coding RNA. The record is from Rfam. Lineage: Bacteria; Bacillati; Bacillota; Bacilli; Caryophanales; Bacillaceae.
GAUACCUAAAACAAUGAAAGCCCUGCCUCUCUUCCAUCCUUACGGCUCCUUGUCCGUUCCAGUGUGAAUCAGGAUUACAAAAAACAA